Molecule: ribosomal RNA, 301 nt
Filed under: uncultured bacterium
Lineage: Bacteria
Description: partial 16S ribosomal RNA
Rfam family: Bacterial small subunit ribosomal RNA
Source: RNAcentral
CAGCCGCCACGGGAAUACAGAGGGUGCGAGCGUUAAUCGGAUUUACUGGGCGUAAAGCGUGCGUAGGCGGCUUCUUAAGUCGGAUGUGAAAUCCCUGAGCUUAACUUAGGAAUUGCAUUCGAUACUGGGAAGCUAGAGUAUGGGAGAGGAUGGUAGAAUUCCAGGUGUAGCGGUGAAAUGCGUAGAGAUCUGGAGGAAUACCGAUGGCGAAGGCAGCCAUCUGGCCUAAUACUGACGCUGAGGUACGAAAGCAUGGGGAGCAAACAGGAUUAGAGACCCCCGUAGUCCCUGUCUCUUAUAA